AGAGUUUGAUCCUGGCUCAGGACGAACGCUGGCGGCGUGCCUAAUACAUGCAAGUAGAACGCUGAAGAGAGGAGCUUGCUCUUCUUGGAUGAGUUGCGAACGGGUGAGUAACGCGUAGGUAACCUGCCUUGUAGCGGGGGAUAACUAUUGGAAACGAUAGCUAAUACCGCAUAACAAUGGAUGACCCAUGUCAUUUAUUUGAAAGGGGCAAAUGCUCCACUACAAGAUGGACCUGCGUUGUAUUAGCUAGUAGGUGAGGUAACGGCUCACCUAGGUGGCGAUACAUAGCCGACCUGAGAGGGUGAUCGGCCAUACUGGGACUGAGACACGGCCCAGACUCCUACGGGAGGCAGCAGUAGGGAAUCUUCGGCAAUGGGGGCAACCCUGACCGAGCAACGCCGCGUGAGUGAAGAAGGUUUUCGGAUCGUAAAGCUCUGUUGUAAGUCAAGAACGAGUGUGAGAGUGGAAAGUUCACACUGUGACGGUAGCUUACCAGAAAGGGACGGCUAACUACGUGCCAGCAGCCGCGGUAAUACGUAGGUCCCGAGCGUUGUCCGGAUUUAUUGGGCGUAAAGCGAGCGCAGGCGGUUUGAUAAGUCUGAAGUUAAAGGCUGUGGCUCAACCAUAGUUCGCUUUGGAGACUGUCAAACUUGAGUGCAGAAGGGGAGAGUGGAAUUCCAUGUGUAGCGGUGAAAUGCGUAGAUAUAUGGAGGAACACCGGUGGCGAAAGCGGCUCUCUGGUCUGUAACUGACGCUGAGGCUCGAAAGCGUGGGGAGCGAACAGGAUUAGAUACCCUGGUAGUCCACGCCGUAAACGAUGAGUGCUAGGUGUUGGAUCCUUUCCGGGAUUCAGUGCCGCAGCUAACGCAUUAAGCACUCCGCCUGGGGAGUACGACCGCAAGGUUGAAACUCAAAGGAAUUGACGGGGGCCCGCACAAGCGGUGGAGCAUGUGGUUUAAUUCGAAGCAACGCGAAGAACCUUACCAGGUCUUGACAUCCCGAUGCUAUUUCUAGAGAUAGAAAGUUACUUCGGUACAUCGGUGACAGGUGGUGCAUGGUUGUCGUCAGCUCGUGUCGUGAGAUGUUGGGUUAAGUCCCGCAACGAGCGCAACCCCUAUUGUUAGUUGCCAUCAUUCAGUUGGGCACUCUAGCGAGACUGCCGGUAAUAAACCGGAGGAAGGUGGGGAUGACGUCAAAUCAUCAUGCCCCUUAUGACCUGGGCUACACACGUGCUACAAUGGUUGGUACAACGAGUUGCGAGUCGGUGACGGCAAGCUAAUCUCUUAAAGCCAAUCUCAGUUCGGAUUGUAGGCUGCAACUCGCCUACAUGAAGUCGGAAUCGCUAGUAAUCGCGGAUCAGCACGCCGCGGUGAAUACGUUCCCGGGCCUUGUACACACCGCCCGUCACACCACGAGAGUUUGUAACACCCGAAGUCGGUGAGGUAACCUUUUGGAGCCAGCCGCCUAAGGUGGGAUAGAUGAUUGGGGUGAAGUCGUAACAAGGUA
Molecule: ribosomal RNA, 1506 nt
Filed under: metagenome
Description: bacterial SSU rRNA
Rfam family: Bacterial small subunit ribosomal RNA
Source: RNAcentral